GUGCAGGUGGUGAGUUCGAAGAUACAUUGGCAACUACAGGAGGUAGAGGUGGGUCAACGAUGUCUGAGACUUCAAGGACUGGAGCGGGAGCUUCUGCCGGUGGCUCAGCUCCUUGGAUAAUGCCAAUAAGAGAACCAGGUUGAACUGGUAAGAUGGCUUCCUUGGCAUUCAAAUCAAAACAUGGACUUCCUGCAAUAACAAAUGGAACGGUGAGCAAUUCAUUCUUGUUUUCCUCUUGCCUGUGGUUUAGGGACCAUAUAUUGUUUCAAGCAUGGAGUGCGAUCAGGCUGGUCUAACUGUCAAAGGCCCAAAAGAAAUUCUUCAUGUCAAAUCACCUACUUUUUUUGUGUAAGCGAGCACUCUUGCACUUGUGUGUAGACACGUACACUUUAAAAAAUGGUGUGGUUGACUGGACCUAUAAAGGAAUUUAACUCAUGCAGUGCUUACUCAUGUAUUUGUUGGCUGUUGCCGGGUAUUCAGUGAUGAUCCCAUCAACUCCAAAUCCUGCUACAUAAGUAGCCAACUCCAGAAUAGGAUCCGCAAAAUAAUCGAAUGCGAGUGAAAUGUACUCGUUCCUCAAAACAGAGACAUAUACUGAGAUAUUUGCUGCAUGCAUUUCGUCAAUAACACUUGUAUUGCUCAAAAGGAAGCUCUCUGAAAUUGGCAUGAUGGUGGGCCUCGUGACAGUGACUGCAUCAGCAUACUUUUUUAUCUCUUCUACUGGCUGCUUUGGUGCAUCGCUUAUUUUCUCUUCAAUUGUCAACACUCUUUUGUAGGUCGAAACAUUCUUGAACUGUGAUAAUACGGAGCUGUCAUCGGAUUGGAUCAAGACUUGUUGUGUGGAUUGUUUGUCUAAUGUGGCAUUGCUUAAGGCUUUGGAAACAGUGUCUACUAUGCCAAGACCCUUCUUCGACGCUAGGUAAGCAGCAUUCUGAUAAGGGAUGAGAAAACUUGGUCAUGCUUGUGAAAAGGGCUCCUAAUCAAAAUAAGGAAGAAACUAAAGCCAUUUUUACCUCUAUGUUUAUCAGAACACCUGAUACUGCCUUUGACUUUGCAAGCUCCAGAAAUUCUGAAAGAGUGACAAAUUUGCCUUUGUUCUUAUUUGCUGGAUUUCUCUGGAAGCCAGCAUCACUACCAAAAGGGCUGACAAGUUGAGCUGAAACAAGGAAGCUUGUUGGUGAGCAAUUUCAUCAGACAUUAACCUGCAGGCAAUAUCAAUAUGCAUGGAAAAGAUUAUGGGGCAACAUUACGCUUCAAACUCUGGAUUUCACUCCAU
RNAcentral lists this long non-coding RNA (1276 nucleotides) under Eucalyptus grandis. RNAcentral describes it as "long non-coding RNA (EGRA_LNC001250)". Lineage: Eukaryota; Viridiplantae; Streptophyta; Magnoliopsida; Myrtales; Myrtaceae. The record is from RNAcentral.